Molecule: ribosomal RNA, 344 nt
Filed under: uncultured Barnesiella sp.
Lineage: Bacteria; Pseudomonadati; Bacteroidota; Bacteroidia; Bacteroidales; Barnesiellaceae
Description: bacterial SSU rRNA
Rfam family: Bacterial small subunit ribosomal RNA
Source: RNAcentral
UGAGGAAUAUUGGGUCAAUGGGCGAGAGCCUGAACCAGCCAAGUCGCGUGAGGGAAGACGGUCCUAAGGAUUGUAAACCUCUUUUGUCGGGGAACAACGAGUUGCACGCGUGCGACAGUGAGGGUACCCGAAGAAAAAGCAUCGGCUAACUCCGUGCCAGCAGCCGCGGUAAUACGGAGGAUGCGAGCGUUAUCCGGAUUUAUUGGGUUUAAAGGGUGCGUAGGCGGCAAGUAAGGUCGGCGGUUAAACUGCGGGGCUCAACCCCGUAUCGCCGUCGAAACCGGCAGGCUAGAGUGGAGAAGAAGUAAGCGGAAUGCGAGGUGUAGCGGUGAAAUGCAUAGAUA